AGAGUUUGAUCCUGGCUCAGGACGAACGCUGGCGGCGUGCUUAACACAUGCAAGUCGAGUGGAACACCUUUUAUUGAAGCUUCGGCAGAUUUAGCUGGUUUCUAGUGACGGACGGGUGAGUAACGCGCGGGUAACCUGCCCUAUACAGGGGGAUAACAACCAGAAAUGGUUGUUAAUACCGCAUAAGCGCACAGGACCGCAUGGUCCGGUGUGAAAAACUCCGGUGGUAUAGGAUGGACCCGUGUUGGAUUAGCCAGUUGGCAGGGUAACGGCCUACCAAAGCGACGAUCCAUAGCCGGCGUGAGAGGGUGACCGGCCACAUUGGGCCUGAGACACGGCCCAGACUCCUACGGGAGGCAGCAGUGGGGAAUAUUGCACAAUGGGGGAAACCCUGAUGCAGCGACGCCGCGUGAAGGAAGAAGGUUUUCGGAUUGUAAACUCCUGUCGUUAGGGACGAUAAUGACGGUAGCUUAGGAGAAAGCCCCGGCUAACUACGUGCCAGCAGCCGCGGUAAUACGUAGGGGGCAAGCGUUGUCCGGAAUUACUGGGUGUAAAGGGAGCGCAGGCGGAGAAGCUAGUCAGUGGUGAAAACGAUGGGCUUAACUCAUCGACUGCCAUUGAAACUGUUUCCCUUGAGUGAAGUAGAGGCAGGCGGAAUUCCGAGUGUAGCGGUGAAAUGCGUAGAUAUUCGGAGGAACACCAGUGGCGAAGGCGGCUUGCUGGGCUUUAACUGACGCUGAGGCUCGAAAGUGUGGGGAGCAAACAGGAUUAGAUUCCCUGGUAGUCCACACUGUAAACG
Molecule: ribosomal RNA, 799 nt
Filed under: uncultured bacterium
Lineage: Bacteria
Description: bacterial SSU rRNA
Rfam family: Bacterial small subunit ribosomal RNA
Source: RNAcentral